UACGUAGGGGGCAAGCGUUGUCCGGAUUUAUUGGGCGUAAAGAGCGUGUAGGCGGCUUUGCAAGUCCGUUGUGAAAACUCGAGGCUCAACCUCGAGACGCCGGUGGAAACUGCAAAGCUAGAGUCCGGAAGAGGAGAGUGGAAUUCCUGGUGUAGCGGUGAAAUGCUUAGAUAUGACAUAGAACACCAAUUGCGAAGGCAGCUCACUACACAAUCAUUGACGCUGAGGCACGAAAGCGUGGGGAUCAAACAGG
This 253-nucleotide ribosomal RNA is filed under the name uncultured bacterium. RNAcentral describes it as "partial 16S ribosomal RNA". It matches the Rfam family "Bacterial small subunit ribosomal RNA", at positions 524 to 776 of the family's 1533-position model. The record is from RNAcentral.